This 235-nucleotide ribosomal RNA is filed under the name uncultured bacterium. RNAcentral's name for it is "partial 16S ribosomal RNA". It matches the Rfam family "Bacterial small subunit ribosomal RNA", at positions 96 to 334 of the family's 1533-position model. The record is from RNAcentral.
UGGCGGACGGGUGAGUAAUGUCUGGGAAACUGCCCGAUGGAGGGGGAUAACUACUGGAAACGGUAGCUAAUACCGCAUAACGUCGCAAGACCAAAGAGGGGGACCUUCGGGCCUCCUGCCAUCGGAUGUGCCCAGAUGGGAUUAGCUAGUAGGUAAGGUAACGGCUUACCUAGGCGACGAUCCCUAGCUGGUCUGAGAGGAUGAUCAGCCACACUGGGACUGAGACACGGCCCAG